RNAcentral lists this non-coding RNA (78 nucleotides) under unclassified sequences. The record is from RNAcentral.
GAGCGGAUAUAAUCCGCUCGCCUUAAUGCAACUCCCUGUUGGGAACGGUCACAAGUCCGUGUAAAUGCAGAGUGAGGA